GAUGAACGCUGGCGGUCUGCUUAACACAUGCAAGUCGAACGGAAUCCUUCGGGAUUUAGUGGCGGACGGGUGAGUAACACGUGAGAAUCUGCACUCAGGAUGGGGACAACAGCGGGAAACUGCUGCUAAUACCCAAUGUGCCGCAAGGUGAAAGAUUUAUCGCCUGAGAAUGAGCUCGCGGCCGAUUAGUUAGUUGGUGGGGUAAAGGCCUACCAAGACGGCGAUCGGUAGCUGGUCUGAGAGGAUGAGCAGCCACACUGGGACUGAGACACGGCCCAGACUCCUACGGGAGGCAGCAGUGGGGAAUUUUCCGCAAUGGGCGCAAGCCUGACGGAGCAAGACCGCGUGGGGGAGGAAGGCUCUUGGGUUGUAAACCCCCUUUUCUCAGGGAAGAACACAAUGACGGUACCUGAGGAAUCAGCCUCGGCUAACUCCGUG
Molecule: ribosomal RNA, 438 nt
Filed under: uncultured bacterium
Lineage: Bacteria
Description: bacterial SSU rRNA
Rfam family: Bacterial small subunit ribosomal RNA
Source: RNAcentral